This 120-nucleotide unclassified non-coding RNA is filed under the name uncultured Trichosporonales. Its description in RNAcentral is "sequence contains ITS1". Lineage: Eukaryota; Fungi; Basidiomycota; Tremellomycetes. The record is from RNAcentral.
GUGAUUGGCCUUAGUGCCUAAAAACUAUAUCCCUAACACCUGUGAACUGUUGAAUUGCGUCUUCGGAUGCGGUUCUUUUACAAACAUUGUGUAAUGAACGUCAUAACAUUAUAAACAAUA